RNAcentral lists this ribosomal RNA (253 nucleotides) under uncultured bacterium. Its description in RNAcentral is "partial 16S ribosomal RNA". It matches the Rfam family "Bacterial small subunit ribosomal RNA", at positions 524 to 776 of the family's 1533-position model. The record is from RNAcentral.
UACAGAGGGUGCGAGCGUUAAUCGGAAUUACUGGGCGUAAAGCGUGCGCAGGCGGUUUUGUAAGACAGGCGUGAAAUCCCCGGGCUCAACCUGGGAAUUGCGCUUGUGACUGCAAGGCUAGAGUGCGUCAGAGGGGGGUAGAAUUCCACGUGUAGCAGUGAAAUGCGUAGAGAUGUGGAGGAAUACCGAUGGCGAAGGCAGCCCCCUGGGACGUGACUGACGCUCAUGCACGAAAGCGUGGGGAGCAAACAGG